CAGAGUAAUGUGAUGUAGAUGGUGUAAGAUUAUGAU
Molecule: non-coding RNA, 36 nt
Filed under: Trypanosoma brucei brucei
Lineage: Eukaryota; Euglenozoa; Kinetoplastea; Trypanosomatida; Trypanosomatidae
Source: RNAcentral